RNAcentral lists this ribosomal RNA (207 nucleotides) under uncultured Syntrophaceae bacterium. RNAcentral describes it as "partial 16S ribosomal RNA". It matches the Rfam family "Bacterial small subunit ribosomal RNA", at positions 568 to 774 of the family's 1533-position model. The record is from RNAcentral. Lineage: Bacteria; Pseudomonadati; Thermodesulfobacteriota; Syntrophia; Syntrophales; Syntrophaceae.
CGUGUAGGCGGCUGGAUAAGUCAGAUGUGAAAUCCCUGGGCUUAACCCAGGAAGUGCAUUUGAAACUGUCCGGCUUGAGUAAGGGAGAGGAAAGUGGAAUUCCUGGUGUAGAGGUGAAAUUCGUAGAUAUCAGGAGGAACACCGGUGGCGAAGGCGACUUUCUGGCCCUAUACUGACGCUGAGACGCGAAAGCGUGGGUAGCAAACA